AGUGAACGCUGGCGGUAGGCCUAACACAUGCAAGUCGAACGGCAGCACAGUAAGAGCUUGCUCUUACGGGUGGCGAGUGGCGGACGGGUGAGGAAUACAUCGGAAUCUACUUUUUCGUGGGGGAUAACGUAGGGAAACUUACGCUAAUACCGCAUACGACCUACGGGUGAAAGCAGGGGAUCUUCGGACCUUGCGCGAUUGAAUGAGCCGAUGUCGGAUUAGCUAGUUGGCGGGGUAAAGGCCCACCAAGGCGACGAUCCGUAGCUGGUCUGAGAGGAUGAUCCGGCACACUGGGACUUAGACAAGGUCCAGACCCCCAAGGGAGGGCGCCGUGGGGAAAAUUGGACAAUGGGCGCAAGCCUGAUCCAGCCAUACCGCGUGGGUGAAGAAGGCCUUCGGGUUGUAAAGCCCUUUUGUUGGGAAAGAAAAGCAGCAGGUUAAUACCCCGCUGUUCUGACGGUACCCAAAGAAUAAGCACCGGCUAACUUCGUG
Molecule: ribosomal RNA, 492 nt
Filed under: uncultured bacterium
Lineage: Bacteria
Description: partial 16S ribosomal RNA
Rfam family: Bacterial small subunit ribosomal RNA
Source: RNAcentral